This 588-nucleotide ribosomal RNA is filed under the name uncultured bacterium. RNAcentral describes it as "partial 16S ribosomal RNA". It matches the Rfam family "Bacterial small subunit ribosomal RNA", at positions 355 to 1376 of the family's 1533-position model. The record is from RNAcentral.
UGGGGAAUUUUGGACAAUGGGCGCAAGCCUGAUCCAGCCAUGCCACGUGCGGGAAGAAGGCCUUCGGGUUGUAAACCGCUUUUGUCAGGGAAGAAAUCUUCUGAGUUAAUACCUCGGGAGGAUGACGGUACCUGAAGAAUAAGCACCGGCUAACUACGUGCCAGCAGCCGCGGUAAUACGUAGGGUGCAAGCGUUAAUCGGAAUUACUGGGCGUAAAGCGUGCGCAGGCGGUUUUGUAAGACAGAGGUGAAAUCCCCGGGCUCAACCUGGGAACUGCCUUUGUGACUGCAAGGCUUGAGUGCGGCAGAGGGGGAUGGAAUUCCGCGUGUAGCAGUGAAAUGCGUAGAUAUGCGGAGGAACACCGAUGGCGAAGGCAAUCCCCUGGGCCUGCACUGACGCUCAUGCACGAAAGCGUGGGGAGCAAACAGGAUUAGAUACCCUGGUAGUCCACGCCCUAAAACGAUGUCAACUGGUUGUUGGGAAGGUUCCUUCUCAGUAACGUAGCUAACGCGUGAAGUUGACCGCCUGGGGAGUACGGCCGCAAGGUUGAAAACUCAAAGGAAUUGACGGGGUCAUAGCUGUUUCCUG